UGGGGAAUUUUGGACAAUGGGCGAAAGCCUGAUCCAGCCAUGCCGCGUGAGUGAAGAAGGCCUUCGGGUUGUAAAGCUCUUUUAGUCGGAAAGAAAGAGUUGCAAUGAAUAAUUGUGAUUUAUGACCGUACCGACAGAAAAAGCACCGGCUAACUACGUGCCAGCAGCCGCGGUAAUACGUAGGGUGCGAGCGUUAAUCGGAAUUACUGGGCGUAAAGGGUGCGCAGGCGGUCUUGCAAGUCAGAUGUGAAAGCCCCGGGCUUAACCUGGGAAUUGCGUUUGAAACUACAAGGCUAGAGUGCAGCAGAGGGGAGUGGAAUUCCAUGUGUAGCAGUGAAAUGCGUAGAGAUGUGGAAGAACACCGAUGGCGAAGGCAGCUCCCUGGGUUGCCACUGACGCUCAUGCACGAAAGCGUGGGGAGCAAACA
Molecule: ribosomal RNA, 427 nt
Filed under: uncultured beta proteobacterium
Lineage: Bacteria; Pseudomonadati; Pseudomonadota; Betaproteobacteria
Description: bacterial SSU rRNA
Rfam family: Bacterial small subunit ribosomal RNA
Source: RNAcentral